GAUGAACGCUAGCGGCAGGCCUAACACAUGCAAGUCGAGGGGUAACAUAGUAGCUUGCUACUGAUGACGACCGGCGCACGGGUGCGUAACGCGUAUACAAUCUACCUUGUACUAUUGGAUAGCCCAGAGAAAUUUGGAUUAAUACAAUAUAGUAUCAUAUUACGGCAUCGUAUUUAUGAUUAAAGAUUACGGUAUAAGAUGAGUAUGCGUCCUAUUAGUUUGUUGGUGUGGUAACGGCACACCAAGACUACGAUAGGUAGGGGCCCUGAGAGGGGGAUCCCCCACACUGGUACUGAGACACGGACCAG
This 308-nucleotide ribosomal RNA is filed under the name uncultured bacterium. RNAcentral's name for it is "bacterial SSU rRNA". It matches the Rfam family "Bacterial small subunit ribosomal RNA", at positions 28 to 334 of the family's 1533-position model. The record is from RNAcentral.